RNAcentral lists this ribosomal RNA (469 nucleotides) under Salmonella enterica. RNAcentral's name for it is "bacterial SSU rRNA". It matches the Rfam family "Bacterial small subunit ribosomal RNA", at positions 1 to 466 of the family's 1533-position model. The record is from RNAcentral. RNAcentral also lists the same sequence under 1 other name. Lineage: Bacteria; Pseudomonadati; Pseudomonadota; Gammaproteobacteria; Enterobacterales; Enterobacteriaceae.
AAAUUGAAGAGUUUGAUCAUGGCUCAGAUUGAACGCUGGCGGCAGGCCUAACACAUGCAAGUCGAACGGUAACAGGAAGCAGCUUGCUGCUUCGCUGACGAGUGGCGGACGGGUGAGUAAUGUCUGGGAAACUGCCUGAUGGAGGGGGAUAACUACUGGAAACGGUGGCUAAUACCGCAUAACGUCGCAAGACCAAAGAGGGGGACCUUCGGGCCUCUUGCCAUCAGAUGUGCCCAGAUGGGAUUAGCUAGUUGGUGAGGUAACGGCUCACCAAGGCGACGAUCCCUAGCUGGUCUGAGAGGAUGACCAGCCACACUGGAACUGAGACACGGUCCAGACUCCUACGGGAGGCAGCAGUGGGGAAUAUUGCACAAUGGGCGCAAGCCUGAUGCAGCCAUGCCGCGUGUAUGAAGAAGGCCUUCGGGUUGUAAAGUACUUUCAGCGGGGAGGAAGGUGUUGUGGUUAAUAA